AACGCGAAGAACCUUACCUGGACUCGAAAUGCAGUUGACCGCCUCAGAGAUGAGGUUUUCCCGCAAGGGACUACUGUAUAGGUGCUGCAUGGCUGUCGUCAGCUCGUGUCGUGAGAUGUUGGGUUAAGUCCCGCAACGAGCGCAACCCUCAUCCUUAGUUGCUCGCCCGAAAGGGAAGCACCCUAAGGAAACUGCCUCCGAUAAGGGGGAGGAAGGUGGGGAUGACGUCAAGUCCUCAUGGCCUUUAUGCCCAGGGCUACACACGUGCUACAAUGGCCGGUACAGAGGGCUGCAAGACCGUAAGGUGGAGCAAAUCCCAGAAAGCCGAUCUCAGUUCAGAUUGUGGACUGCAACUCGUCCACAUGAAGUCGGAAUUGCUAGUAAUGGCGCGUCAGCAACAGCGCCGUGAAUACGUUCCCGGGCCUUGUACACACCGACGCGUA
This 443-nucleotide ribosomal RNA is filed under the name uncultured bacterium. RNAcentral's name for it is "bacterial SSU rRNA". It matches the Rfam family "Bacterial small subunit ribosomal RNA", at positions 958 to 1399 of the family's 1533-position model. The record is from RNAcentral.